RNAcentral lists this ribosomal RNA (504 nucleotides) under uncultured Pseudomonadota bacterium. RNAcentral describes it as "bacterial SSU rRNA". It matches the Rfam family "Bacterial small subunit ribosomal RNA", at positions 96 to 633 of the family's 1533-position model. The record is from RNAcentral. Lineage: Bacteria; Pseudomonadati; Pseudomonadota.
UGGCGAACGGGUGAGUAAUGUAUGGGAAUCUGCCCAAAGGUGAGGGAUAGCUAAGGGAAACUUUAGGUAAUACCUCAUGUGCUUUGAAAGAAGGAAAGGUGAGUUGAAAGACUUCUCGCCUUUGGAUGAGCCCAUAUCGGAUUAGGUAGUUGGUGAGGUAACGGCCCACCAAGCCUGUGAUCCGUAGCUGGUCUGAGAGGAUGAUCAGCCACACUGGGACUGAGAUACGGCCCAGACUCCUACGGGAGGCAGCAGUGGGGAAUAUUGGACAAUGGGGGAAACCCUGAUCCAGCGACGCCGCGUGAAUGAUGAAGGCCUUCGGGUCGUAAAGUUCUUUCACCUGUGGAUAACGGGAAAAGAAGCACCGGCUAACUCUGUGCCAGCAGCCGCGGUAAUACAGAGGGUGCUAGCGUUGUUCGGAUUGAUUGGGCGUAAAGGGUGCGUAGGCGGUUUGUUAAGUGGAUUGUUAAAGGCUUGGGCUCAACCCGGGUUCGCAUUUCAUAC